GACGAACGCUGGCGGCGUGCUUAACACAUGCAAGUCGAACGGAAAGGCCCUGCUUUUGUGGGGUGCUCGAGUGGCGAACGGGUGAGUAACACGUGAGUAACCUGCCCUUGACUUUGGGAUAACUUCAGGAAACUGGGGCUAAUACCGGAUAGGAGCUCCUGCUGCAUGGUGGGGGUUGGAAAGUUUCGGCGGUUGGGGAUGGACUCGCGGCUUAUCAGCUUGUUGGUGGGGUAGUGGCGUACCAAGGCUUUGACGGGUAGCCGGCCUGGGAGGGUGACCGGCCACAUUGGGACUGAGAUACGCCCCAGACUCCUACGGGAGGCAGCAGUGGGGAAUAUUGCACAAUGGGCGGAAGCCUGAUGCAGCAACGCCGCGUGCGGGAUGACGGCCUUCGGGUUGUAAACCGCUUUCGCCUGUGACGAAGCGUGAGUGACGGUAAUGGGUAAAGAAGCACCGGCUAACUACGUG
This 468-nucleotide ribosomal RNA is filed under the name uncultured bacterium. RNAcentral's name for it is "partial 16S ribosomal RNA". It matches the Rfam family "Bacterial small subunit ribosomal RNA", at positions 28 to 507 of the family's 1533-position model. The record is from RNAcentral.